RNAcentral lists this long non-coding RNA (362 nucleotides) under Volvox carteri. RNAcentral's name for it is "long non-coding RNA (VCAR_LNC001501)". The record is from RNAcentral. Lineage: Eukaryota; Viridiplantae; Chlorophyta; Chlorophyceae; Chlamydomonadales; Volvocaceae.
GCAGCAGGUGACUGGGAUGUCUGUAGUCGAUAGUUCGGUAGUUAAGGGGUAGACGGUUGAAUGGUUGGUUAUGUUAGAUAUAGCUUCCACGGAGGUGCUGGAUUUACGAUAUACAUGCUGGACUUGACUUUUUUGAGGGAAUUUUCCCGAAGGGGCGGUUCUGUAGCAGCGGGCAUUGAGAACUUUCCAUCCCUCCCUCUCUCUCCCUCACGGCUGGUAGCGGUGCUUGGGCGUAUCCAACUGUCCAUAAAUGCCCCCUGGCCGCACUCCCCUGGCCUCGCGUACAUGUUUUCUGUCCGAAAACCCGGAAUCGUUGUCAGCACGCAGCUCAAGACGGACCCUGCCUGUCAGCUAACGACUGU